This 111-nucleotide ribosomal RNA is filed under the name Meloidogyne paranaensis. Its description in RNAcentral is "partial 16S ribosomal RNA". Lineage: Eukaryota; Metazoa; Nematoda; Chromadorea; Rhabditida; Meloidogynidae. The record is from RNAcentral.
AAAUUAUUUUUUACAUUAUUUUUUAUUGUUGAAAAAAUUACCCCCUGCUUUUUUUACGCUUGGGGCUUCUUUUUCUCCCACAAAUUUUUGAAAAAUGACCAAACUCCGGAU